Molecule: ribosomal RNA, 490 nt
Filed under: uncultured bacterium
Lineage: Bacteria
Description: partial 16S ribosomal RNA
Rfam family: Bacterial small subunit ribosomal RNA
Source: RNAcentral
AUUGAACGCUGGCGGCAUGCUUUACACAUGCAAGUCGAACGGCAGCGGGGUAGUGCUUGCACUACUGCCGGCGAGUGGCGAACGGGUGAGUAAUAUAUCGGAACGUACCGAGUAAUGGGGGAUAACCAAUCGAAAGAUUGGCUAAUACCGCAUACGUCCUGAGGGAGAAAGCGGGGGAUCGCAAGACCUCGCGUUAUUCGAGCGGCCGAUAACUGAUUAGCUAGUUGGUGGGGUAAAGGCCUACCAAGGCGACGAUCAGUAGCGGGUCUGAGAGGACGAUCCGCCACACUGGGACUGAGACACGGCCCAGACUCCUACGGGAGGCAGCAGUGGGGAAUUUUGGACAAUGGGGGCAACCCUGAUCCAGCCAUGCCGCGUGUAUGAAGAAGGCCUUCGGGUUGUAAAGUACUUUUGUUAGGGAAGAAGAGGGAAGUGCUAAUACCACUUUUUGCUGACGGUACCUAAAGAAUAAGCACCGGCUAACUACGUG